RNAcentral lists this unclassified non-coding RNA (274 nucleotides) under Hevea brasiliensis (rubber tree). Lineage: Eukaryota; Viridiplantae; Streptophyta; Magnoliopsida; Malpighiales; Euphorbiaceae. The record is from RNAcentral.
AUCUGAAUGUCUCUUCAAAGAAGCCUACUCAAUUGCUCUAUACUCUUUUCACCUGCGAUAGCAUACAAAACUAUCGCAGAGUGGUGAACUUAGUGGUGCACAACUAUAACUUAAAACAUAGUACAAUAUACCUUAGUAAAAUUACAGCAAAUAAUUUGGAAAUCAGGAUACUCAUCAAAUUUCAAAAAUCAAAUUAUUCAUUGCCAAUGACAUAAAUCAUUUGUAUGAAAUGACUUUAAUCACGAAAUUUAAUUUAUCAAAUCAUGACUAACCA